Molecule: ribosomal RNA, 402 nt
Filed under: uncultured bacterium
Lineage: Bacteria
Description: bacterial SSU rRNA
Rfam family: Bacterial small subunit ribosomal RNA
Source: RNAcentral
GGAAUAUUGGGCAAUGGGCGAAAGCCUGACCCAGCAACGCCGCGUGAGUGAAGAAGGCCUUCGGGUUGUAAAGCUCUGUUAUAGGGGACGAAGGAAGUGACGGUACCCUAUAAGGAAGCCCCGGCUAACUACGUGCCAGCAGCCGCGGUAAUACGUAGGGGGCAAGCGUUGUCCGGAAUGAUUGGGCGUAAAGGGCGCGUAGGCGGCCCGGUAAGUCUGGAGUGAAAGUCCUGCUUUUAAGGUGGGAAUUGCUUUGGAUACUGUCGGGCUUGAGUGCAGGAGAGGUAAGUGGAAUUCCCAGUGUAGCGGUGAAAUGCGUAGAGAUUGGGAGGAACACCAGUGGCGAAGGCGACUUACUGGACUGUAACUGACGCUGAGGCUCGAAAGCAUGGGUAGCGAACA